This 732-nucleotide long non-coding RNA is filed under the name Zerene cesonia (dogface butterfly). RNAcentral describes it as "uncharacterized LOC119834244". The record is from RNAcentral. Lineage: Eukaryota; Metazoa; Arthropoda; Insecta; Lepidoptera; Pieridae.
UCAAAAACUGCAUUCCGGAUAAAUUUUAACUCCAUGUUGAGUCAUAGAUUUGAGUCAUCACAAAACAGAAAAUUCCUACGCUUUUUAGUUAGGUACAUUAGGUUAACGUUAGACAUAGUUAAGAAACGAACACGUUUGAGAUCAAGAGCCGUAACUUUUACCUCUAUCUGUGCAAUUACUUUUAUAUUUUUUUGAAAUUGUGUGAUCGUUUUUUGUAAAUCAAAACGGCGCAAUACGGGGAGGAAGCCAUGACUGCUUGGACAAUGUUCAGCUGGAGAAGAUUAUACAACGGAAGAGGCAUAGAGUGCGUAGAGGAAUCGCGUGUGGAACUCCCGGCUGACACGAGACAGCUUGUUUACAACGUCUUUGUUUACUUCAACAGGCGGCCAGGAAGAAGCACUAAAGCCUCUAUUACAAAAACAGCAAGAGCCACGAUGCUUCCAAGAGAUAUAGUUGCGGAUAUAAUAAGAGAUAAAUGCCGAGACUGAACUAUCUUAACACGCUUUUCGCCGCUUAUGUUAUACAUAGAUAUCAUCAAAUUAUGAUACCUAAGUGCUUCGCAAUUUUCUUAUUAUUAAACGGUUAGUGGUUCAAAAGUUGGAUCUCGUUGCUUCCUCAAAGAGGGCAUUUGUUAUGUAAGUUUAACUUUUUAGUUAUAAGUUAUUUCGAAACGGAUGAAUGUAUUGUAAUGUUACAUAAGUGUUAUAUUAAACGUAAUCAUCAGAAUAUUAA